UUGAAAGGGAAACGAUUGAAGUCAGUCGUACCGACGAGAAAUCAACUUAUCGUGUGCGAACUUGUGGGCGUGCGUGAGUUUCGGCCUCGCUGUUUGCAUGUUUGUGCGCUUUGGGUGUACUUUUUCGUAUGGUAGGCCAACGUCAGUUUCGAUUAUCAUAAAAUGACCGGUGGAAUGUAGCUUCGAUUUCGGUUGAAGUGUUAUAGCCUCUGGUAGAUGUGGUGAUUUAGACUGAGGAUUGCAACGAAUACCCUUUGGGCUAUCCGUCUGGCCUCUGAAAGUUGCUCAGGUGCCGAAAGCGUGCUUACGGUCAUCUAAGAUAACGUUCAACAGGUUAGAACGUGAUUACAUUCGUUAAGGAUGUUGACGUA
Molecule: ribosomal RNA, 371 nt
Filed under: uncultured fungus
Lineage: Eukaryota; Fungi
Also listed under: 1 other name
Description: LSU rRNA
Source: RNAcentral